AUUGAACGCUGGCGGCAGGCCUAACACAUGCAAGUCGAACGGCAGCACAGAAGAGCUUGCUCUUUGGGUGGCGAGUGGCGGACGGGUGAGUAAUGUCUGGGAAACUGCCCGAUGGAGGGGGAUAACUACUGGAAACGGUAGCUAAUACCGCAUAACGUCGCGAGACCAAAGUGGGGGACCUUCGGGCCUCACACCAUCGGAUGUGCCCAGAUGGGAUUAGCUAGUAGGUGGGGUAAUGGCUCACCUAGGCGACGAUCCCUAGCUGGUCUGAGAGGAAGACCAGCCACGCUGGAACUGAGACACGGUCCAGACUCCUACGAGAGGCAGCAGUGGGGAAUAUUGCACAAUGGGCGCAAGCCUGGUGCAGCCAUGCCGCGUGUAGGACGAAGGCCUGCGGGUCGUAAAGUACUUUCAGCGGGGAGGGAGGCGGUGAGGUUAAUAACCUUGCCGAUUGACGUUACCCGCAGAAGAAGCACCGGCUAACUCCGUGCCAGCCGCCGCAGUAA
This 506-nucleotide ribosomal RNA is filed under the name uncultured bacterium. RNAcentral's name for it is "partial 16S ribosomal RNA". It matches the Rfam family "Bacterial small subunit ribosomal RNA", at positions 29 to 523 of the family's 1533-position model. The record is from RNAcentral.